GUGUGUGGUGUCUAAGAACAGCUCAAGUUCCUGAAUGUCCUUAAGGGUCUUAAUACGGUCCUCGAGUUGUCGGAUCCUGUGUUCCAUGCGAGUGAUCUGUUUACACUUGGGGCAGAUGUAAUUGAGUAAUUGUAGUGUGAAAAAGCUGAACAUGCCACAGCUUGUGCAUGAGACGGGAAGUUUUCGUGUUUGUUCCAUCUGGAGGUUGCUAAUUACCUCCUCUUGGUGUGUGUUUUAUGUUGUUGUCUGUAUGCAGGGGUGAAAGUAUAGGUUACUGAGUGUAUGACACUGGUUUAUAUAGGAUAACCAGGAAGCCCCGCCUCUCAAACAAAGCAGUUAAUUUUUAAACUCAGGAAGCCCCGCCUCUCAAACAAAGCA
Anolis sagrei ordinatus is the source of this 378-nucleotide non-coding RNA. Lineage: Eukaryota; Metazoa; Chordata; Lepidosauria; Squamata; Anolidae. The record is from RefSeq and is a predicted model, not a curated record.